RNAcentral lists this ribosomal RNA (1489 nucleotides) under Nostoc sp. LEGE 12450. RNAcentral's name for it is "bacterial SSU rRNA". It matches the Rfam family "Bacterial small subunit ribosomal RNA". Lineage: Bacteria; Bacillati; Cyanobacteriota; Cyanophyceae; Nostocales; Nostocaceae. The record is from RNAcentral.
AAAACGGAGAGUUUGAUCCUGGCUCAGGAUGAACGCUGGCGGUAUGCUUAACACAUGCAAGUCGAACGGUGUCUUCGGACACAGUGGCGGACGGGUGAGUAACGCGUGAGAAUCUGGCUCUAGGUCUGGGACAACCACUGGAAACGGUGGCUAAUACCGGAUGUGCCGAGAGGUGAAAGGUUAACUGCCUAGAGAUGAGCUCGCGUCUGAUUAGCUAGUUGGAAGUGUAAUGGACUCCCAAGGCGACGAUCAGUAGCUGGUCUGAGAGGACGAUCAGCCACACUGGGACUGAGACACGGCCCAGACUCCUACGGGAGGCAGCAGUGGGGAAUUUUCCGCAAUGGGCGAAAGCCUGACGGAGCAAUACCGCGUGAGGGAGGAAGGCUCUUGGGUCGUAAACCUCUUUUCUCAGGGAAGAACACAAUGACGGUACCUGAGGAAUAAGCAUCGGCUAACUCCGUGCCAGCAGCCGCGGUAAUACGGAGGAUGCAAGCGUUAUCCGGAAUGAUUGGGCGUAAAGCGUCCGCAGGUGGCAAUGUAAGUCUGCUGUUAAAGAGUCUAGCUCAACUAGAUAAAAGCAGUGGAAACUACAUAGCUAGAGUACGUUCGGGGCAGAGGGAAUUCCUGGUGUAGCGGUGAAAUGCGUAGAGAUCAGGAAGAACACCGGUGGCGAAGGCGCUCUGCUAGGCCGUAACUGACACUGAGGGACGAAAGCUAGGGGAGCGAAUGGGAUUAGAUACCCCAGUAGUCCUAGCCGUAAACGAUGGAUACUAGGCGUGGCUUGUAUCGACCCGAGCCGUGCCGUAGCUAACGCGUUAAGUAUCCCGCCUGGGGAGUACGCCGGCAACGGUGAAACUCAAAGGAAUUGACGGGGGCCCGCACAAGCGGUGGAGUAUGUGGUUUAAUUCGAUGCAACGCGAAGAACCUUACCAAGGCUUGACAUGUCGCGAAUCUUCUUGAAAGGGAAGAGUGCCUUCGGGAGCGCGAACACAGGUGGUGCAUGGCUGUCGUCAGCUCGUGUCGUGAGAUGUUGGGUUAAGUCCCGCAACGAGCGCAACCCUCGUUUUUAGUUGCCAGCAUUAAGUUGGGCACUCUAGAGAGACUGCCGGUGACAAACCGGAGGAAGGUGGGGAUGACGUCAAGUCAGCAUGCCCCUUACGCCUUGGGCUACACACGUACUACAAUGCUCCGGACAGAGGGCAGCAAGCAUGCGAAUGCAAGCAAAUCCCGUAAACCGGAGCUCAGUUCAGAUCGCAGGCUGCAACUCGCCUGCGUGAAGGAGGAAUCGCUAGUAAUUGCAGGUCAGCAUACUGCAGUGAAUUCGUUCCCGGGCCUUGUACACACCGCCCGUCACACCAUGGAAGCUGGUAGUGCCCGAAGUCAUUACUCCAACCUUUCGGGGAGGAGGAUGCCUAAGGCAGGACUGGUGACUGGGGUGAAGUCGUAACAAGGUAGCCGUACCGGAAGGUGUGGCUGGAUCACCUCCUUU